AUCCAGCUGACGAGUCCCAAAUAAGACGAAGUGAAGUGCUUCCUGGAU
This 48-nucleotide non-coding RNA is filed under the name Schistosoma margrebowiei. Lineage: Eukaryota; Metazoa; Platyhelminthes; Trematoda; Strigeidida; Schistosomatidae. The record is from RNAcentral.